This 489-nucleotide ribosomal RNA is filed under the name uncultured bacterium. RNAcentral describes it as "partial 16S ribosomal RNA". It matches the Rfam family "Bacterial small subunit ribosomal RNA", at positions 29 to 507 of the family's 1533-position model. The record is from RNAcentral.
GUGAACGCUGGCGGCAGGCCUGACACAUGCAAGUCGAACGGCAGCACAAGAGAGCUUGCUCUCUGGGUGGCGAGUGGCGGACGGGUGAGGAAUGCAUCGGAAUCUGCCCAUUUGUGGGGGAUAACCUCGGGAAACCGGGACUAAUACCGCAUACGACCUACGGGUGAAAGCAGGGGAUCUUCGGACCUUGCGCAGAUGGAUGAGCCGAUGCCGGAUUAGCUAGUUGGAGGGGUAAAGGCCCACCAAGGCGACGAUCCGUAGCUGGUCUGAGAGGAUGAUCAGCCACACUGGGACUGAGACACGGCCCAGACUCCUACGGGAGGCAGCAGUGGGGAAUAUUGGACAAUGGGCGCAAGCCUGAUCCAGCCAUGCCGCGUGUGUGAAGAAGGCCUUCGGGUUGUAAAGCACUUUUGUUGGGAAAGAAAAGCAGCCGGUUAAUACCCGGUUGUCAUGACGGUACCCAAAGAAUAAGCACCGGCUAACUUCGUG